UAGCUUGCAGAGACAAAUUACUGCUUCUCUCUUGCAGGUAAGAGAAAAUUUUGCUAAGAUUUUAAAAAUACACCUAAGCUAUUUUUCUAACUCUGGCAUGAAGAUGGAAAAAUUUGCCAACCUCGAUCAAAACUUGCCUUAAAGAAAUUGUUGAACAAAAUUAGAAGCCAAAAAGAGGAAUGGACAUCAAAAAGUGAGAAAGAUAGUCAAAGUGAAUUUGACACCAUUGAAUCAGGCACAAUUGCUGGUGAAAAGAGACCAUUAUGUGAUUUAGGACUUAACAAGGAGCAGCAGAAAAAUACAGUGUCUCAAGCCAAAGGUACACAGUACAUACUUGCAUCAAAGUUUGCUGUAAAGUAGCAAAAAGACUUGUACAGGGGGACUAUGACUGUGAUAAUACUGUUUAAUGAACUUUUAGUGUUAAAUGUUUGUCACAUUGAAUGAAAGUACAGUUUCCUAUCUGUGCUCACAAGGCAUUGUGGAUUUGCUGAAACCACAAAUAGGAGAGGCUUUUGCUCUUAUGUCCAACUUGUCCAUUGAGAUCUUGAAGAGAACAGAUGUCCAAAAUACCUUUCUAUCUUUUAAAUCUCACUCAAAUUAUUGUCACACUUGAUGUUUCUGUACUUUAAUAGGUGUUUGCCUCCAGGGAUAGAAUUCUAAGUGCAGAAGUCAGCACUAAAGUUCUCUACCUGUUGAACUGGAAAAGCUGCUUUCUUUGGAGAUUAACAGCUAUAAAUGCCCAAGACAAGCA
Non-coding RNA from Cyanistes caeruleus (blue tit), 751 nucleotides. Lineage: Eukaryota; Metazoa; Chordata; Aves; Passeriformes; Paridae. The record is from RefSeq and is a predicted model, not a curated record.